UGGGGCGCUAUGGGGCGCUGUGGGGCGCUAUGGGGCGCUAUGGGGUACAGCGGGUUCCUAUGGAGUGCUAUGGGGCACUUUGAGGUGCUGUGAGACUCUGUAGGGCUUUACGGGUCCCUACGGGGUGCUAUGGGCACUGUAGGACCCUAUGGGUUGCUGUGGGGCGCUGUGGGGCGCUAUGGGGCGCUAUGGGGUGCUAUGGGGUACGGCGGGUUCCUAUGGAGUGCUAUGGGGCACUUUGAGGUGCUGUGAGACUCUGUAGGGCUUUACGGGUCCCUACGGGGUGCUAUGGGCACUGUAGGACCCUAUGGGUUGCUAUGGGGCUCUGCGGGGCGCUGUGGGGCGCUAUGGGGCGCUAUGGGGGCGCUAUGGGGCGCUAUGGGGUACAGCGGGUUCCUAUGGAGUGCUAUGGGGCACUUCGAGGUGCUGUGAGACUCUGUAGAGCUUUAUGGGUCCCUACGGGGUGCUAUGGGCACUGUAGGACCCUAUGGGGCGCUAUGGGGCGCUGUGGGGCGCUAUGGGGCGCUAUGGGGCGCUAUGGGGCGCUAUGGGGUGCUAUGGGGUACAGUGGGUUCCUAUGGAAUGCUAUGGGGCACUUUGAGGUGCUGUGAGACUCUGUAGGGCUUUACGGGUCCCUAUGGGGUGCUAUGGGCACUGUAGGACCCUAUGGGUUGCUAUGGGGCUCUGCGGGGCACUGUGGGGCGCUAUGGGGCGCUAUGGGGUGCUAUGGAGCACAGUGGGUUCUUACGUGGUGCUAUGGGGCACUGUGAAGUGCCGUGGGACUCUGUAGGGCUUUACGGGUCCCUACGGGGCGCUAUGGGGCACUGUAGGACCCUAUGGGUUGCUAUGGGGCGCUAUGGGGCGCUAUGGGGGCGCUAUGGGGCGCUAUGGGGUACAGCGGGUUCCUAUGGAGUGCUAUGGGGCACUUUGAGGUGCUGUGAGACUCUGUAGGGGCUUUAUGGGUCCCUAUGGGGUGCUAUGGGCACUGUAGGACCCUAUGGGUUGCUAUGGGGCUCUGCGGGGCGCUGUGGGGCGCUAUGGGGCGCUAUGGGGUGCUAUGGGGUACAGUGGGUUCCCUAUGGAGUGCUAUGGGGCACUGUGAAGUGCUGUGAGACUCUGUAGGGCUUUAUGGGUCCCUACGGGGUGCUAUGGACACUGUAGGACCCUAUGGGUUGCUACGGGGUGCUGUGGGGCGCUAUGGGGCGCUAUGGGGUGCUAUGGGGCUCUAUGGGGCGCUAUGGGGCGCUAUGGGGUGCUAUGGGGCACAGUGGGUUCUUUGGUGGUGCUAUGGGGCACUGUGAAGUGCCGUGGGACUCUGUAGGGCUUUGCGGGUCCCUACGGGGUGCUAUGGGCACUGUAGGACCCUAUGGGUUGCUACGGGGCUCUGCGUGGUGCUGUGGGGCGCUAUGUGGGCGCUAUGGGG
Molecule: long non-coding RNA, 1423 nt
Organism: Lagopus muta (rock ptarmigan)
Lineage: Eukaryota; Metazoa; Chordata; Aves; Galliformes; Phasianidae
Exons: 3
Source: RefSeq, a predicted model, not a curated record